Molecule: long non-coding RNA, 1136 nt
Filed under: Strigops habroptila (Kakapo)
Lineage: Eukaryota; Metazoa; Chordata; Aves; Psittaciformes; Psittacidae
Description: lncRNA (ENSSHBG00005008033.1)
Source: RNAcentral
CACAUGAGGGAAGAGCACCAGGGCACCGUGCCUCCAGUGUCUAUGCAGCUCUUCACCCUCCCAUGGGCUUUUCCAGAAAAAAGAGGUUGUGAUCCCUGUGUCAGAGCCAUCAGGACAUGGGGUCUGCCUCCCCCCCCAGCCCUCCUCGUGUUUUUGGGUUUGUCAUGAAGUUACCAACAUCUGCUCUGUGUGAUGGUACACCUCCAAAGCCACUGGUAAAGAAACCAGACUGAUGCCCCACCUGCACAUCAUUCCCUUUCAAUGUCCCACUGUCUCCCUUCUUUUUUCUUUGGGUUUUUUUCUCUAAUAUUACAGGCAACACCCAGCAAAGCCACAUAUAAGGAAUGCUGUGGUGAAAAGUUUUCAGGGCACACAGCAGACUGUGCUGGCUCCAUCCUGCAGACGGGAGGAUUGCAGGAUCAAGCCCUGCAAACACAUUUCUGGCCAUGUUGCAUCUUUUGGGGACUCACCACAGCCUGACCCAGGAGGGCCUGCAGUUGGCUGCCCUCCCAUGCGAGAGCUGCCUGUGCAGCUGGGAGCCCAGUAUGAUGCCCCACCACCAGCAGCUGCCAGCUCAUGGAUACAGGUACGCACAAGCUCAGCUGUUGCUCUAUCAGCAGUGAUGGUUUCAUGUUAUUAGAUAACAGUUAAAAUAGGGCAGGAUGUGUUAUGGAAAGGGAAUGGGAACCCUCACUGUGCUUUUACCAACCCACCCAACUUCAAGGAGCUGCAACAGAGAAGGACAUUUUUGCUUUUAACCAUAUUUUAACCAUAUUGGUAAGCUGGCCCAGAGCUGCUCUGCUGAUUUCCCUCCGCUCUCGCCAGGGUGUAUUUGUGUGAUAACUGUGUGUUUGUUUCUGGAUGCCUUAUGCUGUGUGUGUACUAUCAUACAGUUCUGUUCGAUGCUGGAACUUUACAAAAUGUGAUUAUUAUUACAAACUAAUGCUUACGCACAACAGUGUGACGUUGGCUCCUGCAUCCCAAAUAGCCGGUGCCUGGUGGCUUGAGUCACACGAGGUGCGCAGCAGCUGAUUCCUGGAACAGAUCCCAGAUACCACAGGUAACCAUCUCAAGCUUAUGCUGCAGACCAGGCAGUUCUUUUGAGUUUUGUUUUUAUUUAAGUGUAUUCACCAAAA